Molecule: long non-coding RNA, 371 nt
Organism: Oreochromis aureus
Lineage: Eukaryota; Metazoa; Chordata; Actinopteri; Cichliformes; Cichlidae
Exons: 3
Source: RefSeq, a predicted model, not a curated record
AAGUGGAGCUGAAAGUCAGAGUCUGUCAGGUGGAGGUGGAGGAGGGGGCGGAGUCUGUCCAGCUGCCCUUCAGUACCUCAAAAAACCUGCCUGAAGAUUCUAAAGUGGAGUGGUUGGACAAUUACAGGAAGGUCCACCUGUAUAUGAACGGCUCUGACCAGCCUGAAGAACAGCACCAGGUUUACAGAGACCGAACGAAGGUGAACAAAGACCUGCUGAAAACUGGAGACCUCAGUCUGACCCUGAAACACCCCACAGAGGCAGACAGUGGUGGAUACAGAUGUUUAGUCUGGAGAAAGGAAACGUUAAUCAGAAAGAAAAUAGUGGUGCUCAAAGUCAAAGGGAGAGUUCAGGUCCAGGAUCAAACAGGG